GACGAACGCUGGCGGCGUGCUUAACACAUGCAAGUCGAACGGAAAGGCCCUGCUUUUGUGGGGUGCUCGAGUGGCGAACGGGUGAGUAACACGUGAGUAACCUGCCCUUGACUUUGGGAUAACUUCAGGAAACUGGGGCUAAUACCGGAUAGGAGCUCCUGCUGCAUGGUGGUGGUUGGAAAGAUUCGGCGUUUGGGGAUGGACUCGCGGCUUAUCAGCUUGUUUGUGGGGUAGUGGCUUACCAAGGCUUUGACGGGUAGCCGGCCUGAGAGGGUUACCGGCCACAUUGGGACUGAGAUACGGCCCAGACUCCUACGGGAGGCAGCAGUGGGGAAUAUUGCACAAUGGGCGGAAGCCUGAUGCAGCAACGCCGCGUGCGGAAUGACGGCCUUCGGGUUGUAAACCGCUUUCGCCUGUGACGAAGCGUGAGUGACGGUAAUGGGUAAAGAAGCACCGGCUAACUACGUG
RNAcentral lists this ribosomal RNA (468 nucleotides) under uncultured bacterium. Its description in RNAcentral is "partial 16S ribosomal RNA". It matches the Rfam family "Bacterial small subunit ribosomal RNA", at positions 28 to 507 of the family's 1533-position model. The record is from RNAcentral.